GGGGGGGGGGGGGUUUCUCGGGCUUCUUCAAUCAUUGAAACCCUAUCUCGCUGUCUCAAACUCAUUCGCGACCCCCUCAUAAACCACCGCACUACCCACCUCUCCGACCUCAUCUUCGACUCCGUUCACUUCGAUUCAGUGAGUGAGCUUUAAGAGAUCGAUUCAUCAGACUCUCCACUAUCUCUAUUACUGAAGCCGAAACGAAGAGAAACUACUUCUUGGGCUAUGGAGUCUUACGUUGAGGGACGAUUCCGAUUUGGCUGGAAGAACAGCAGUGGAUCCAAGCUGGCAUGAAUUGGUUUGCUUCUUGCUGCCUUUUAUUCAAGUAUAAUCAAUGGGUCUUAUAUACAAAGAGAAUAGAAAAGCAAUUGAAGAUGUUGCCAAGAGAAAUGACAUGGGUUCUGCUAGGUGUUCUCUUUUUCCCCCAGAACUUUUUGUUCUGAGCUUAGGUUUUCUACUUACAAUUUUCCAAUUUUAUGCUUUGUUUUCCCUUAUUGGUUUCGAAUGAGACUGCAUUAUAAUGUUCAUAUUAUACUUCAUAGUAAUGUAUUUUUUGGUUAAAUUUAACCAAAUUGAAAUAGGUAGUAAAUGUCGAGCUAUCAUGAUAUUGUAAAUUUCAUAGGAGAUAGGAAGUUACCUAAAUAAAGGCAAUUUAUUUUCCUAUACUUCAUGAAAGUUUAGUAUCAUUAUCUACUUAGAACAUAUUUUAAUCAUGGGCGGUCAUAACAAAAGGAUGUGGUUGGGCACCAAGGUUCUGGAUACACUUGAAGCCAUUAAAUGUUUAAGAUAGUGAGCUAAAGGGGGCUCUCCAGCUUGAUUUUGAUCCUUGCCAUGUGGUUUUGUUUGGUACUGUAUUUUAUUUAACAGAAUACUCUUAUUUUAUUUAUGUCUUUUGUGUAAAUUAUUUCAAUCACUUGAUCUAGAAAUUGUGAGAUCACGAAAGACAAUGAAUCUCUUUCGAACAUGUCAUCUCUGACUAUGGUACUAUUUUUCAAGUUGUUUAAUUUCCAAUUUGAGGGAGUCUUCCUGAGUUGUUGAAGCUAAAUUGUUAUGUCUAUGCAAAAGGGUCUAGAUUUUUCAUUUUUAAAUUUUUUGAUUCACUUGCUGAUGAUUGUAUUCUGGAACUAGGUAAUCUGUCUUCCUUACUAUAUCAAAACCCUUCUUGAUGUUAAUUCUUCCCUCUACAGAACACAAAAAGGUAGACACAGCUUAAUAUAAUAUAAUGUUUCCUUUCUAUAUUUGUUAUUGUGACACCAAUUGAAAUUGCCCGAACACAACACGCUUCAAUUAAGCAUAUUUAACAGCAUCACCAACUCCAUUGUAUGCUUUAUGUUUCUUUUCCAAUGAUCUGGACAUUGGCUCUUGUCAUUUUGCCAUUUAAUUCCCAUUUCAAAAUGAAGCUGCAGCAUGCUAUAGUUUAUAGAGUAGGGCUUAAUUAUAUAUGAAGUUUUGUCUUCAUGUGUCUUGAUCACUUUCCACCGCCAAAACUUGUCAACAAAAGACAUGACCACAAGGAGAUGACUUUGUUGCUGCAAGUUUGGAACACCACCACUUGGUCUGCUUGCUUUAUUCCACCGCUUGUCCUUUUUUUUUUUUUUAAAAGCUUAUCCACCAUGGAAGUAGUAAGACAACUGAGUUAUAUAAUAAGUACUACAUCAGUUCUCUUACAUAACAUGGAAGUGGUUGGAUUGUUGAUGGUAUGCUGCAGUUUCUACCUCACUUGCAUCUAUAAAUAUGUAUUUGCUUGAGACUUUGAGGGGAGAUUUUUGAUAACAUGCCUUGAUAGGGAUCAUGGCUUCUUCUACUAGGUGGUUGAUGCAUGCAGAUGCAAGAGAUUGCAAGAGAACGUGGAAAUUACCUUCAUGGCUGAGGCCGUACAUCUCUU
Rosa rugosa (rugosa rose) is the source of this 1885-nucleotide long non-coding RNA. RefSeq lists it as uncharacterized. The record is from RefSeq and is a predicted model, not a curated record. Lineage: Eukaryota; Viridiplantae; Streptophyta; Magnoliopsida; Rosales; Rosaceae. The transcript has 3 exons.